RNAcentral lists this ribosomal RNA (515 nucleotides) under uncultured bacterium. Its description in RNAcentral is "partial 16S ribosomal RNA". It matches the Rfam family "Bacterial small subunit ribosomal RNA", at positions 28 to 523 of the family's 1533-position model. The record is from RNAcentral.
GAUGAACGCUGGCGGCGUGCCUAAUACAUGCAAGUCGAGCGAAUGGAUUAAGAGCUUGCUCUUAUGAAGUUAGCGGCGGACGGGUGAGUAACACGUGGGUAACCUGCCCAUAAGACUGGGAUAACUCCGGGAAACCGGGGCUAAUACCGGAUAACAUUUUGAACCGCAUGGUUCGAAAUUGAAAGGCGGCUUCGGCUGUCACUUAUGGAUGGACCCGCGUCGCAUUAGCUAGUUGGUGAGGUAACGGCUCACCAAGGCAACGAUGCGUAGCCGAACUGAGAGGGUGAUCGGCCACACGGGGACUGAGACACGGCCCAGACUCCUACGGGAGGCAGCAGUAGGGAAGCUUCCGCAAUGGACGAAAGUCUGACGGAGCAACGCCGCGUGAGUGAUGAAGGCUUUCGGGUCGUAAAACUCUGUUGUUAGGGAAGAACAAGUGCUAGUUGAAUAAGCUGGCACCUUGACGGUACCUAACCAGAAAGCCACGGCUAACUACGUGCCAGCAGCCGCCGCAG